UUAAUGCCUACUCAAGAAUAUAUUGAGCACUUAUUUUGAUUAUUUAAAUAGUUGCAGUGUGGACUGUGCCUGAGACGAUUCCCCAUAACGCCGGCUAUGUUGACAGCUUGUGAAAAUGGAAUCCAAAUGCUCACAAGAAAUGACAAAAGCAGUAUGAAGAUUAACACAACAAAAUUGUGCCAGAAAAGUUUGAAGUAGCUAUGGGAAUGAUCAACAUUGACCUUGCUGAGGCUCUCUUCCUGAAAGUGAC
This is a long non-coding RNA of Saccostrea cuccullata (small rock oyster), 250 nucleotides long. RefSeq lists it as uncharacterized. The record is from RefSeq and is a predicted model, not a curated record. The transcript is spliced from 3 exons. NCBI's taxonomy places the organism in Eukaryota, Metazoa, Mollusca, Bivalvia, Ostreida, Ostreidae.